CCUACGGGAGGCAGCAGUAGGGAAUUUUCGGCAAUGGGGGGAACCCUGACCGAGCAACGCCGCGUGAAGGAAGAAGGAAUUCGUUCUGUAAACUUCUGUUAUAAAGGAAGAAAGACGGAUGGAGGAAAUGAGAUCCGAGUGACGGUACUUUAAGAGAAAGCCACGGCUAACUACGUGCCAGCAGCCGCGGUAAUACGUAGGUGGCAAGCGUUAUCCUGAAAUAUGGGGCGGAAAGAGGGAGCAGGUGGUAGCAAAGGUCUGUGGUGAAAGACUGAAGCUUACCUUCAGUAAGCCAUAGAAACCGGGCAGCUAGAGUGCAGACGAGGAUCGUGGAAUUCGAUGUGUAGCGGUGAAAUGCGUAGAUAUAUGGAGGAACACCAGUGGCGAAGGCGACGAUCUGGCCUGCAACUGACGCUCAGUCCCGAAAGCGUGGGGAGCAAAUAGGAUUAGAUACCCUUGUAGUC
This 464-nucleotide ribosomal RNA is filed under the name uncultured bacterium. RNAcentral describes it as "partial 16S ribosomal RNA". It matches the Rfam family "Bacterial small subunit ribosomal RNA", at positions 338 to 795 of the family's 1533-position model. The record is from RNAcentral.